This 302-nucleotide long non-coding RNA is filed under the name Vigna radiata. RNAcentral's name for it is "long non-coding RNA (VRAD_LNC007964)". The record is from RNAcentral. Lineage: Eukaryota; Viridiplantae; Streptophyta; Magnoliopsida; Fabales; Fabaceae.
GCGAGUCAGUUGGAAAGUGUAUUUCUUCGCCGUGCCAUAUCCAUGUUGUAUAGCAUCUUAGGAAACCAUCACAGAUAAGAUGUUCUCUAAUUUGAGUUGCGUUCAACUUUCUCCCAUUCAAACAGUUCACACAAGGACAUCUAAACUUCACUUCAUCGUCUCUUCUCCCCUCAUUACGUUGCGCAAAUUGUAUAAAUUCCUCUACACCUCUCUCGUACUCAGCACUAAUACGUGGUAAAUUAAUCCAAUUUCGAUCCAUUCCUAAAUUUUACAAAAUUACAAUUAUACAAUUUUCUAUAUAA